CGCGCCCGCGCAGACCGACAGCACCGAGGGAGGCAGCUUCUGCUUACAGGAAAAUAGCAGCUACCUUGUCACCAAAAAUAAUAAUGAUGGGCACCCUCAUAAGUGACAGUCUCUGAGGUGAACAUGCUACAUGCAGCGUCUCAUCACCUACGAAGCAGGAAUCUAGACGCUGAGGGACACACAGCCCGAAAUCCAAUAAGUCCUCAGACACCAGCACCCACAUCCCUCCAACCUCGCCUCUAACCCUUAUGCCUUCCACACCAUGAGGCUCUCAACCUCUCCUUCACACUGUUCACUCCUCAGUCUGACUGCGGCCUCAACAAUCUACGAAAAGUUAUCUUUUCUCGUCAUCUUCCCAGUCCCCACUUUUGCUCAGCCCUCAACUGAUCCCACUCGAUACCUGAGGAGAACAGGCAGAUGACAGCCACUUGAGCUCCAUCGGGAGACUGUUUCUAACCCUGUUUCUGAACCAGGAACUCGGGUUCCUGCCUCCUACCGAGACACUGUGGCACUCUCUAAAAUGUGGAGUAGCUGUAAUAAAUCUACUCCUGUAUUAUGCUUUACAGUGCAGGUCUUAGUUUUUCUUUUUUCUCAUUUCUUUUGAAAUGGCAUCUCGAACAAAGUCCACCAAUCCCUUUACAAAAGAAUGAACUGCUCCUCUGUGUGUACUUCAUAGAAGGUGGAAUCGGACAGAAGCAGGUUAGUGACAGUUAUUCCUGAAAUACAGGAGCAGAGUACAGUCUGUUGUGGUUUCCCGGAUUCCGCGCCUAGCUCAGCCAAUUAAGCAUGAGACAUAGGCCAUUGAGCCACUUAGUAGUUAUGCGAGUGGAUAGAUUGGUAUGUAGAGGGAAAGAGGUCUGCUGUAAAGAACAACACUUGUUUGUCUGUGGGGAAAGAAAAGCAGAAUACUUGAGAUGAAAGUUGGCAUACAAAUAGGAUACUAUCGCCAGUAGUUAUAUUACAAACAUUAUCGGCCUUUCUAGUGUGAAUGAACAUUAGACACAUUAUUGUCAUUCCUAGUUUAAAGUUAAGGUUGCGUGGUUGGAUUUUUCCACUAUCUUUUUCUAAUUUUUCUACCAUUUGGAGACCGUAGGCAUUUGGGCCUGUCACCCCUUGGAUGGGUUCCUAGUUUGUUUACAUUUUCCUGAACCCUCCUGAGCGCCCGUUCUUGGUCUAAUCCCCAGUCGUGAUGAUUCCACACUUCCUCAGCCGCAUGUUGUCUUGCCUCAUUCAUGAGCUGGUCAGCGUUUCGUCUCUUUAACUGACAUGUUCCCCAGUGCUGUUUGAACUGUUGAGUUUCCGUUGCUGGCUGAGUGCGUUUUGUCCUUCACGUAACCUUCGCUGGUAAAAAUAAGCCCAUGUGAUGUCCACCAGUGGAUGAAUGCUGGACCGAGAGCCCUAGCUUCUGGAUCCAGGUCUAGGCCCUUCAUCUGCUGCUCUGUGGCCCAGGGCAGGUUUGCUUGACCUCUGCCUCAGUUCUCGACUCUAAAGGACAUACUGACCUACCUCACAGGGGUGUUGUGAGGAUUAAUAAAUGUUGGUACUCUGCUUUGGAAA
RNAcentral lists this long non-coding RNA (1557 nucleotides) under Homo sapiens (human). RNAcentral describes it as "HSALNT0376317". The record is from RNAcentral. Lineage: Eukaryota; Metazoa; Chordata; Mammalia; Primates; Hominidae.